Molecule: long non-coding RNA, 2996 nt
Filed under: Homo sapiens (human)
Lineage: Eukaryota; Metazoa; Chordata; Mammalia; Primates; Hominidae
Description: LHRI_LNC297.1
Source: RNAcentral
AUCUGUUUUCAGCAGUAAUUGUCCUAUAUGUGAAAAUAUGAAGCCUUAUUUUGACAGCUGGCAGUGUCUUUGAUAUUGGAAGAUGUCAUUUGGAAAAGAGGGAACGACAGCAGAUCGGAGGCAGCUGUUCACCGCCGUGGUAGCCCGUGAGCGCAGCUGUGGGGUGGUGAUGGUGGGAUUUGGGAUUGGGCGGGCUGGUGUUUGUUUCUGUUUUGUGUUUUGUCAAAUCCCUGGGGCUGGAUAUCAUUAGGCUACAAGCUGCACAUUCUAUUUAGUUAGAACCAGGAGCUGACGGCAUCAGAGAAGAGGAGGAGGGAGAAAGAGCAAAGGGGCAUGGAGCGGAAAAAGAAAGAACAGGAGAGGACCUUGAAAGGUGGAAUAAGGCCGUGAAUGCGGGGGAGAGAAGUCACAGGCAGAGAAAGACAGAAAAUGAGGAGGUGGAAACCGGCUGUUUGGGGGAUGGGCUAAUUGCCCAAGUAAGGCUCUGCCCUGAGACCUGGGGAUUAUCUAGCCUUUUUCACCGGUCAGUGUCACAGGGGCCGCCGCUGCCUUAGUGCAGGGAGCCCAGUCCCUCCACCGCCGUCCCUGCAGCCUGCAGACAGGGCCCACCUGCCGCCUACUCCCCGGCUCCAGCAGCUGGGAAAGGCUCCCAUCAGCAGGUGAAGGGGAGCGGGAAAGCCACUCGCCAGCGCCUGCUCUGAGGCUGCUGUCCUUGCACGUUCACACGUGGGAGAAGCGACUUUCUUUCUCUUUCUUCAGUUCCAAGGAGCCCAUUAGUGGCCUGUGACGGGCUCAGGUAUUGUUCCCCUCAAGACCCACUGGGCCUGCCGCUGCCAGGGCUCACAUUCCUGCCCCGGCGACAGGAUCGGGUCAGGCUGUGUCCUGAACCCCACGCCCCACCGGCGCCUGCACACACGCGCCCCUCUCCACCUCCCCUUCUCAGUCUCCUGCCCUGGGCGCUCCUUGAGACCACCACCAGGACGUCCAACUCUAAAGCCACAGAGACCCGGGCUUCCUGGGAAAAGCUGACCAGCGCAUUCCUGCAGGCGCAGGAUUAAGACGGGAAACCCAGAAAGGAGUCUCUCCUCAUUGCAAACAGAGAUAAGCCUUCGGGGAGAGUUGCACACAGGAGUGCGAGUGGCCACCCCUCCAGGGGCUGUGACAGGGGAAUCUGUGGGUCAGCGGCCUCUCUGCCACCACCAGCCACACGACUUGGGGAGGACAGCUGGGGCCUCCCUGUUCCCCUGUCCGCAGCAGUCAGGGCCUGCCUGUUCAUACCCAGGUUAUCACGUGAAACCAGGGAAGUCAGGGACCAGCCUCUGACUGCGGGACAGAACCACAACACAGGGUGUUGCUGGGGAGGCCCGACCUGGCUCGGGUUGGCUGCUUUCUCCUUUACAGGCUAAAGAUCUGCUGCCCGCUGGCUCCUGCGGCCCUCCGUGGAGUGGGGGAGGCCGCCCUCCCUCCUGCGUCACCAUCCUGGCUGCCUCCGUUCCUGCAGCUGACUCUGCAGGGGUGGGGAGUUUUGCUAGCAAGGCAAGUGGGAUGUAUUUCCAUCCAUGUCACACAGAGCUGACAGAAGCUAGGCGAUUCCAGGGGGAAAUGUCCUUACUUCCUUCCGAAUGGCCUGGCUGCAGCUUAAGUGCACAGAGGAGUGGUUCCUAGACCCACUCUCAAUCCUGGGUCUGGGUCUGGCUGGGUCUGGCUGCUUCUGCAGGCUUCUUGCUGUCAGGUCUCUCUGGUGUCAGAAAUCUCCUGCCCUGCUGCCACCUUAUGGAGUUAGGAUGCCAGACAGACUGGCAGGGAAGCAGCCCCAUGGGGGGUUGAACCCUGCCUCUCUACUCUGUUCUCUGCAUGGUAUCAGGGUGGCCCCGAGGGAGUGCAGAAGUGCCAGCCUUCCGCGGAGGGGAAGCCCUUUUUUGCCUGAUCUUCUACAUAAGCUUCUCCUAAGUGCUAGAGUCAGGCAUAACCCCAAGGAAAGUUUCAAGGAGACGAGUGGUUCCAGCAUGCAAUGCUGCAGAGAGCUCAAGGAAAGCAUUUAGUGGAUGUCAUAACUAGGAGGUCGUCAAGACGGGGAAGCUGCAGAGAACACCUGGGCACUGCUCCUUUGGGGAUCUUAGCUGAGAGGCCUUCCUGUUGGCAAGAGAGGGGGUAGGAAGGACCUACUCUCCUGCCUACUCCAGUGGGCAGGCUUUCACAUGAGAAGGAAAGAGGAAAUGUAAUUAUUUCUGAGACUGAAGAGAUCAGGUGGCAUGGUAUUAAUGAUUAGGGAACAAGACUGUCAUACACAUCACGACAGUUCGUCAGUUCCAACUUCCCUCAUGUGAAUGACAGCUGACAUUCACACUUGCAGGACCAGGAGCCAAUAAUAACUACAAAGUGGCAAGUGGCUCUGUCCCUUCUGCCGCCACUAAAGAAAGCAUCUCAAAAUGCAAGCGUGUGGUAGUGACUUCAUUGUAGAGACACUUGAAUCACCUCUAGUUUAUUAAUAUAUUAUAAUAAACCAAAGAAUGGUCCUUUCACUCUUAGUCACAAAGUACUUGCACCAUGCCUCUCAAUAACAUAAACCAACAAAAAACUCAGUGAGAUUCAAGACUCAUAGUUCAACUAACACCCCUGCCAUACUCACUCUUCCUUCUUAAAAAAAUAUCAAUGCCAACAACUUACAGAAAAAUCUCAUCAAUACUAAACAGCUGUUCCUUUCCUAAAAAGUCUCUUUGGAUAUAAAUUGGUAUCUCCAUCAGCUUACAAGGUUGUAAUCAGUAUGUACAUAUAAUUUCAUGUUCUACUUUUCUUCACUAAAUAUUUCAUCUACACAUUCUCAUUUACUGGUGUACUCUCACGAUGUCUAGGGGCUAAAAAGAUUUUAUUAAUUAAUGUUUUCCCAUUGUGGAGUAUUGGUUGUUUCCCAUUGUUCAUUUUACAGUGCUGCAAUUGAUUUUUUUAUAGAAAAGAAAAUCAAUGUUUUGUGUUUUCAUUUUGAGGUACGUUUUCCC